UUCUCUUGAGGAUAAGUUAGAACUGACUAAUUUUAAAUUUUGAAGGGAAGAUCACAUGGUUGUAAAUGAUGAAGAAAACCUUGAAGGGAACUCCUUGGCGGUCCAGUGGUUAGGACUCCACGCUUUCACUGCCCAGGGCCCUGGGUUUGAUCCCUGAUCGGGGAACUAAGAUCCCACAAGCUGUGCGGUGAGGCCAAAAAAAAAAAAAAGACCUUGAAAAAGAAAAGUGAUAAGCGUUUGUCCUAUAAAAAAUUAAACACCAAGAUAUUAGCACAGAAAUAGGAAAAACCAUCACUGGAAUAAUAGGACAAAUCUAUUCUUUUUCUUCAGAUAAAUUCAAGUAAAAUAAUGUUUAAUAAUGCAGAAUGUACAGAAUUACCUCAUUAUACUGGAAGUAUUUCUGUCAAUCUAUUACAUGUACACAUGUAUAUACACAUACAUACACAACAUCUGUAAUGAGGACCAUCUAAUGUUAAAGCUAGUUGUUUCUGAUUAGUUGGUAUAUUGUUUUCCUAAAGCACCACAAACUGAUGGCAUAAAACAACAGAAACUUAUUCACUUGCAGCUCUGGGGUCCAGCAGUCCAAAAUCAAGAUGCGACAAGGUUGGUUCUUUUGGAGGCUUUGAGGGAGGAUCUGUUCCAUGCCCCUGUCGUACCUUCUGGUGGUUGCGGAGUGGAAUCUUCAUAAGGGCAAGAAUUUUCACCUGUUUUGUUCAACGCUGCAUCCCCAAUGCCUCGGACAGAGCUGCUGAGAAAAGCAGAAAAGAAGAUUGUGGAAACCACUGUAGAAACAAAAUUUGAACGUCUCCUUCAUGGACGACUAGAGCAGCUCUCGGGUCUAUGGAACAGUUCCCCUGUCAAUCGUGCAAGCGUGAAUCUGCUGUUGCACUGACCAGUGAACUGUGAAUCCAAAACAGAAGAAAGAAAGUGAGGAGGCCCCUGAGGAAGCCAUGUGGAUGAGUAGCCCUGUAACCUAAGAGUCUACCUCUGGACACAGGUUAAACCGGCAGAAGCAAAGGGUCUCUAUUUUCCUGAAGUGUGACACCUCCUGCAUGGAAACGAGGACAGGAUAAACUGGGGCAUCUGAAGUGACCUCUUCCGGGCAGGAUGUGGAAGUGUGAUGCGUCUCCUUGAGCAAGACCUUCCAAAAUGCUUAAUCUAAGGUGAUAAACGUAUUUCUGACAGAAACCUGUAUUUCAUCUUUGAAUCUCCAAUCGCCUGGCACAGAACUAGACAGACAGUGAUUUCAUCCAUAUCUGUGGCUUCAAUUACUAUUCAAUGACUGACGAAUCCAGAAGCAAUGUCUAGCUAAGACUUACCACCUAAGAUCCCAAUCUGCAGCUGCAGCUGCCCACUAGACCCACAACCUUAUUCUAGGAAACACUGAGACUGGAAUUAGUCCUACUCUUCAGCUUGAAGGAAAUCAUUUUAAUUACAUAGAAAUCGAUUCGUCAACUUUUAUUCAUGCAAUAAUAAAUGGUUAGGCUUCCCUGGUAGCUCCGUGGUUAAGAAUCUGCCUGCCAACGCAGGGGACACGGGUUUGAGCCCUUGUCCGGGAGGAUCCCACAUGCCGCGGAGCAACUAAGCCCGUGUGCCACAACUACUGAGCCUGCGCUCUAUAGCCCGCGAGCCACAGCUACUGAGCCCAUGCGCCACAACUAAUGAAGCCCACGUGCCUAGAGCCUGUGCUCCGCGGCAAGAGAAGCCAAUGCAAUGAGAAGCCCACGCACCUCAACGAAGAGUAGAGCCCGCUCGCCGCAACUAGAGAAAGCCCGUGCGCAUCAACAAAGACCCAGCACAGCCAAAAAUAAAUAAAUAAACUUUAUAAAUGUAUAAAUAAAUGGCCAUCAAUGCCAGUGGAGUCCUGAGAUCCAAGAAUAUGUGCUGUACACGCUUUUCAGUCUCAUGGAAUCCUCCUGACAGCUCUGUGUGGUGGUGUGAUUGUUAUUUUCACUUGACAGCAUUGUGCAGUAACCUGUGUUCAUCUCAUUCAUCUCAUCUCAUCACAACAGGAACCAUAGCCGAUCCAGGAACACUCAGAACCUUCUUGUUGGGACCACCCCACCUCUCCAGACGCCCAGCUGUUCUUCACCUGAGGAAGAGGAGGCACCCUCAUCCCCCCCAGUAGUUUGGUCUCCACCAGAAACACCGAGAGGCUUUGCACGGAGACCAAGUUCAGCCUGAUUCCCCUGUGCUUGGCUUGCUGACCCUUUCAUCACAGCUGCUCAGGCCUUUGGCUGGCCACUUGAAAGAAGAUAGGAUAUUAUAAACAUAACAUGGACGUGUCAUGAAGAUAUUUUACGAGGUACCUGAGGUACCACUUCUAAGCAAGUUUAUCAUGUUUAAGAUCGUGUGUAUUAUUUCAAGAAUGACAUAGCUUUUGCUUCCUGUUUCCUAAAAUGUUUCUGGAACCAGCCACGAGGAGACUUCUUGGUUGUGCCUAUAUGAUCCAUCCAAGUAGUGCCUUUGAGGACGGCCUCUUUUUGCCUAUCCCAGAUCUUUCUCAAUGUCCUCAGUUUCCCGUGAAAAUGAAUGAGCCCGUGACCUUAUUUUACUUGCAAGGAAGUCUCACUGAAACAAACAAGGACUGCUUAUCCAAGUUUUAGAACCAGUCUUCAAGGUGACUGUGUCUUAGUAACUUUAAAGUCACUUCAAGUUAAAAAAAGAAGUUUGAUGGAUGAAGAACUGUAAGGUAGACAAGCUCUCAUUUCAAAUAUCAAAAUAAUUCAAAAUGUCCACACUUUAAUUACUUUUGUCAAACAACAUGUUUUAGAUUCAUGGGAUGGUUAAACGUUAUGAAAAAUUGAAACUAUUUUUAUUUCUGCCGUGAUGAAGUGACAUUGCAUUUCUCAGUAUUCCGCUGUUAGCUGGUUCUUCAAAAUUUAUUGGCAUGAUAUCCCAGUCAGCCCCAACGUCAAUCAAAUUUAUUAAAUAUUUAUUUUCUGCUAAGGAAAAACAACAUGAAAGUGAAAUAUACUAAUAACCAAGUGCAUGACUGAAUACUGAAAGAAGUAUUUCUUAAGUGUGUUCUCCAAAGUGUACCUUUUCAUUUCACUUAGAAACAAUAUUUCUAGAUCUUUGACACAUUUUCGUUUCUCAUAGAUACAAUUUAUGUUAGAAUAGUCCAAAUACAUUUUUAUUUAUUGUGGUUAGGUUUUAAGACCUUCAUUACAUACUUUUGAAUUACAGAAGGAUUUAAGUAUGAAAUUUCAUAGCAUGCUGUCAAAGAAGGGGGAUGCAAUCCUGGUGGGAUAAUAUACUAAAUCACACAUUUUGGCUGUACUGGGUGAAAAAUUCUAUGGAAAGAAGAAUGUCUAAGUUCUUAGGACCAAUGAAGGCUUUAUUUAUCUAAAAUUAUCACCACCAGCACUGACUUUCAGCAAGUCACAGAGCCGGAAUAGGUCAUUCUAGGUAUUUUACCUGUUUUCGGACCAAACUAUUACACUUUGAGUAACACUAACCCAUUACAUUGCCACGUCCAAUGCAAAAUUCACCAGUUGGUGACAAUGACACAAUUCAUUCACCUUCAAUAGAUUUUUGGUUUGUGUUGCCUUUCAAAUAAAGUUUUGUACUAAAUCAUCA
Molecule: long non-coding RNA, 3582 nt
Organism: Orcinus orca (killer whale)
Lineage: Eukaryota; Metazoa; Chordata; Mammalia; Artiodactyla; Delphinidae
Exons: 12
Source: RefSeq, a predicted model, not a curated record